This 426-nucleotide unclassified non-coding RNA is filed under the name soil metagenome. Its description in RNAcentral is "partial contains 5.8S ribosomal RNA, internal transcribed spacer 2, and large subunit ribosomal RNA". The stretch from base 1 to 120 matches the Rfam family "5.8S ribosomal RNA", at positions 35 to 154 of the family's 154-position model. The record is from RNAcentral.
GAUGAAGAACGUAGCGAAAUGCGAUAAGUAAUGUGAAUUGCAGAUUUCAGUGAAUCAUCGAAUCUUUGAACGCACCUUGCGCCUUGUGGUAUUCCACAAGGCAUGCCCGUUUGAGUAUCAUUAAAUCAUCAACUCUAAAACCUUUGUGGUUUUUUUUAGAGCUUGGUCUUGAGGGUUUUGCAGGCUUUUUUUUUCUUUCGAGUCUGCUCCCUUUAAAUGCAUUAGCGAGACUUCCCUAUGCUGAACCGUCUCUUUGACGUGAUAAUUAUCUGCGUCGAAUUUUGGUUCUCGUUGGGCUUGCUUCUAAUCGUCUGUUAAAGACAAAACGGAUUUGGGUGCAUAUAUGCGCCUUUUUCCAAAACCUUUUUUUGAUCUCAAAUCGGGUAGGACUACCCGCUGAACUUAAGCAUAUCAAUAAGCGGAGGA